AUGGACGCUGGCGGCGUGCCUAAUCCCUGCAAGUCGAGCGAACAGACGAGGAGCUUUCUCCUCUGCCGUUAUCGGCGGACGGGUGAGUAACCCGUGGUUAACCUACCUAUACGACUGGGUUAACUUCGGGAAACCGGAGCUAAUACCGGAUAACAUGUUGAACCGCAUGGUUCAACAGUGAAAUACGGUCUUGCUGUCACUUAUUGAUGGAUCCUCGCCGCAUUAGCUAGUUGGUAAGGUAACGGCUUACCAAGGCAACGAUGCGUAGACGACCUGAGAGGGUGAUCGGCCACACUGGAACUGAGACACGGUCCAGACGACUACGGGAGGCAGCAGUAGGGAAUCUUCCGCAAUGGGCGAAAGCCUGACGGAGCAACGCCGCGUGAGUGAUGAAGGUCUUCGGAUCGUAAAACUCUGUUAUGAGGGAAGAACAAAUGUGUAAGUAACUAUGCACGUAUUGACGGUACCUAAUCAGAAAGCCACGGCUAACUACGUG
This 496-nucleotide ribosomal RNA is filed under the name uncultured bacterium. RNAcentral describes it as "partial 16S ribosomal RNA". It matches the Rfam family "Bacterial small subunit ribosomal RNA", at positions 29 to 507 of the family's 1533-position model. The record is from RNAcentral.